CGAGACCAAGAUGUGAAGAUGACGGUGAACAGCUGAAGAGACGCUGCAGCUGAUCCUCGUCACAAACAGCUGAUGCAGCAGCAGGAGGAGGACAGGCAGGACACAGACCAGUUUGGAGACAUUAGCUGAUGUUUGGAAACUGCGGCGUCUCCAAAACUGAGCGAAACGACAGGCGCUGUGAGCCGCUGCAAGGCUGCUGGAAGCGAGGAGAGCUGUCUCUGCCGAGGAAGAAAAGGAUGUUUGGAGAGGGAUCACAUCAGACAUGACAUUAGAUGAGGAACACACCGCAGAAGGCUGCGUUUUGGGCCACCCUGAGACAGACCGGCACCGACUGCAAACGACCCCGAAGCAACAAAGAGACAUUUCAAGCAUCUCAUGAAAUAAAACAACUCUAAAUAAAGCUUCAUAUUUUCAAUA
This is a long non-coding RNA of Plectropomus leopardus (leopard coralgrouper), 417 nucleotides long. RefSeq lists it as uncharacterized. Lineage: Eukaryota; Metazoa; Chordata; Actinopteri; Perciformes; Serranidae. The record is from RefSeq and is a predicted model, not a curated record.